Non-coding RNA from Salmo salar (Atlantic salmon), 69 nucleotides. The record is from Rfam. NCBI's taxonomy places the organism in Eukaryota, Metazoa, Chordata, Actinopteri, Salmoniformes, Salmonidae.
CCCUGUGGCUCAGUUGGUAGAGCGUGGUGUUUGCAACGCCAGGGUUGUGGGUUUGUAUUCCCACAGGGG